Gossypium raimondii (Peruvian cotton) is the source of this 714-nucleotide long non-coding RNA. RefSeq lists it as uncharacterized. The record is from RefSeq and is a predicted model, not a curated record. The transcript has 5 exons. NCBI's taxonomy places the organism in Eukaryota, Viridiplantae, Streptophyta, Magnoliopsida, Malvales, Malvaceae.
UGGGAAUUCUUUUUGUUCAUUGCCAUUGGUUGGUAGUUGGGUUAGGAUUUGUUUAAAUUAUCAAAAUCCCUAAAUUCACUCACCAACUACACUGUUCAGUUUUUUCCCUACUCCCCUAUUCACGUUUCCCCUCUCACAUUUCUUCUUUUCCCUCUUCUUUCUUUUCUUUUCUUUUUCUUGAAUUUCCAUCUCAUAUUUCUUCUUGAUUUGCUUCUUACCUUGCUGCCAUUAAGGUUGUUAUGUGACUAUCUUUUUUAUUCUUCGUUUGUGAUAGUAAAUCCGAGUAAAGUGAUCUCGUGGUUUUUUAUUCGGCGAAGGGCGUGAGAAUCGAAAUUCUCCAGCGGAGUAAUUGCUAAUUUUGACUCUAUUUUCUUAUAAGAUUCGUGAGUUCCCGGUUGUGUGGUUAAUCAAAAUUGUCAUCAGCUCAACUUCAUAUUUAUGAAUGGCAUACCACCACUUACCGAUGUGAUUGGAUGGAUGGACUCAUGAAGUCCUAAUUAAUGUGAUUGGUUGGCCGGAGAUAAUGUGUAGCGGAUGGGGGUGAACCUUAGAAUUAAGAUUUGGCGGCGAUUCCGGAGCUCGGUUCAGACAUUUUGUUUUUAAGUAUGUUUGGAUUUAAUUUUAGACUUUACGGACAUUUUGAUUUGUUUAGGGACUUUAAUUUGUGUUUGAAAUUUAUCUUGCAAACGCACUACUUAUAACUGACAUUUUUAA